Molecule: ribosomal RNA, 336 nt
Filed under: uncultured soil bacterium
Lineage: Bacteria
Description: bacterial SSU rRNA
Rfam family: Bacterial small subunit ribosomal RNA
Source: RNAcentral
AGAUUGAACGCUGGCGGCAUGCCUUACACAUGCAAGUCGAACGGUAGAGUAGCAAUACUCGAGAGUGGCGAACGGGUGAGUAAUAUAUCGGAACGUGCCCAGUCGUGGGGGAUAACGUAGAGAAAUUUACGCUAAUACCGCAUACGAUCUAAGGAUGAAAGCGGGGGAUCGCAAGACCUCGCGCGAUUGGAGCGGCUGAUAUCAGAUUAGGUUGUUGGUGAGGUAAAAGCUCACCAAGCCGACGAUCUGUAGCUGGUUUGAGAGAACGACCAGCCACACUGGGACUGAGACACGGCCCAGACUCCUACGGGAGCAGCAGUGGGAAUUUUGGACAAU